GAUGAACGCUGGCGGCGUGCCUAAUACAUGCAAGUCGAGCGAACGGACGAGAAGCUUGCUUCUCUGAUGUUAGCGGCGGACGGGUGAGUAACACGUGGAUAACCUACCUAUAAGACUGGGAUAACUUCGGGAAACCGGAGCUAAUACCGGAUAAUAUUUUGAACCGCAUGGUUCAAAAGUGAAAGACGGUCUUGCUGUCACUUAUAGAUGGAUCCGCGCUGCAUUAGCUAGUUGGUAAGGUAACGGCUUACCAAGGCAACGAUGCAUAGCCGACCUGAGAGGGUGAUCGGCCACACUGGAACUGAGACACGGUCCAGACUCCUACGGGAGGCAGCAGUAGGGAAUCUUCCGCAAUGGGCGAAAGCCUGACGGAGCAACGCCGCGUGAGUGAUGAAGGUCUUCGGAUCGUAAAACUCUGUUAUUAGGGAAGAACAUAUGUGUAAGUAACUGUGCACAUCUUGACGGUACCUAAUCAGAAAGCCACGGCUAACUACGUGCCAGCAGCCGCGGUAAUACGUAGGUGGCAAGCGUUAUCCGGAAUUAUUGGGCGUAAAGCGCGCGUAGGCGGUUUUUUAAGUCUGAUGUGAAAGCCCACGGCUCAACCGUGGAGGGUCAUUGGAAACUGGAAAACUUGAGUGCAGAAGAGGAAAGUGGAAUUCCAUGUGUAGCGGUGAAAUGCGCAGAGAUAUGGAGGAACACCAGUGGCGAAGGCGACUUUCUGGUCUGUAACUGACGCUGAUGUGCGAAAGCGUGGGGAUCAAACAGGAUUAGAUACCCUGGUAGUCCACGCCGUAAACGAUGAGUGCUAAGUGUUAGGGGGUUUCCGCCCCUUAGUGCUGCAGCUAACGCAUUAAGCACUCCGCCUGGGGAGUACGACCGCAAGGUUGAAACUCAAAGGAAUUGACGGGGACCCGCACAAGCGGUGAAGCAUGUGGUUUAAUUCGAAGCAACGCGAAGAACCUUACCAAAUCUUGACAUCCUUUGACAACUCUAGAGAUAGAGCCUUCCCCUUCGGGGGACAAAGUGACAGGUGGUGCAUGGUUGUCGUCAGCUCGUGUCGUGAGAUGUUGGGUUAAGUCCCGCAACGAGCGCAACCCUUAAGCUUAGUUGCCAUCAUUAAGUUGGGCACUCUAAGUUGACUGCCGGUGACAAACCGGAGGAAGGUGGGGAUGACGUCAAAUCAUCAUGCCCCUUAUGAUUUGGGCUACACACGUGCUACAAUGGACAAUACAAAGGGCAGCGAAACCGCGAGGUCAAGCAAAUCCCAUAAAGUUGUUCUCAGUUCGGAUUGUAGUCUGCAACUCGACUACAUGAAGCUGGAAUCGCUAGUAAUCGUAGAUCAGCAUGCUACGGUGAAUACGUUCCCGGGUCU
Molecule: ribosomal RNA, 1372 nt
Filed under: uncultured bacterium
Lineage: Bacteria
Description: bacterial SSU rRNA
Rfam family: Bacterial small subunit ribosomal RNA
Source: RNAcentral